RNAcentral lists this non-coding RNA (77 nucleotides) under Anaerobacterium chartisolvens. The record is from RNAcentral. Lineage: Bacteria; Bacillati; Bacillota; Clostridia; Eubacteriales; Oscillospiraceae.
AAGCGCCGUAUACGAGAACCGUACGUACGGUGCUGUGGGAGGUCGGGAAAAUUAUUCGAUUUUCCCUCCUACCCGAU